RNAcentral lists this unclassified non-coding RNA (325 nucleotides) under Hevea brasiliensis (rubber tree). The record is from RNAcentral. Lineage: Eukaryota; Viridiplantae; Streptophyta; Magnoliopsida; Malpighiales; Euphorbiaceae.
CUUUGUUUUCCCUUUUUAACUCCCUUAAGCAUCCCCGCUUUGUGGCUCCGUGCUCUUAGGGUUUUAAAGAAGGGUUUCUCUCUCCCUACCACUUCCAUUUUCCCUCUCUAAAGUGUAAGAAUCCCAAUUCCGGGAAGAGAAGAAGAAAAGCCAUGGAUAGAUAUACCAGGGUCGAAAAACCAAAGCCUGAGUCGCCGAUAAACGAAAACGAGAUCCGUAUCACCUCCGGUGGUCCUGUCAGAAACUAUAUAAGCUAUGCUACUUCCCUUCUUCAGGAGAAACAUGUAAGAGAGGUCGUCUUGAAAGCAAUGGGACAGGCAAUUAG